GGUGGCUCAGGGGUAGAGCGCUUGCCUCGCAUGCAAGAGGCCCUGGGUUCGAUUCCUCAGCACCA
RNAcentral lists this transfer RNA (65 nucleotides) under Dipodomys ordii (Ord's kangaroo rat). It matches the Rfam family "tRNA". From Rfam's summary of the family: Transfer RNA (tRNA) molecules are approximately 80 nucleotides in length. Their secondary structure includes four short double-helical elements and three loops (D, anti-codon, and T loops). The record is from Rfam by way of RNAcentral. Lineage: Eukaryota; Metazoa; Chordata; Mammalia; Rodentia; Heteromyidae.